Molecule: transfer RNA, 77 nt
Filed under: Candidatus Aminicenantota bacterium
Lineage: Bacteria; Candidatus Aminicenantota
Description: tRNA-Val
Rfam family: tRNA
About the family: Transfer RNA (tRNA) molecules are approximately 80 nucleotides in length. Their secondary structure includes four short double-helical elements and three loops (D, anti-codon, and T loops).
Source: RNAcentral
GGGCGAUUAGCUCAGCUGGUUAGAGCGCUGGUUUCACAUACCAGAGGUCACUAGUUCGAAUCUAGUAUCGCCCACCA